This 520-nucleotide ribosomal RNA is filed under the name uncultured Acaulospora. RNAcentral describes it as "SSU rRNA". It matches the Rfam family "Eukaryotic small subunit ribosomal RNA", at positions 569 to 1092 of the family's 1831-position model. Lineage: Eukaryota; Fungi; Glomeromycota; Glomeromycetes; Diversisporales; Acaulosporaceae. The record is from RNAcentral.
AGCAGCCGCGGUAAUUCCAGCUCCAAUAGCGUAUAUUAAAGUUGUUGCAGUUAAAAAGCUCGUAGUUGAAUUUCGGGGUCUGUCCGUCGGUCGGGCUUCACGGUCCGUACUGGUGUGAUGGGUUCCUACCUUCUGAAUAACCGGCAUGCCAUUCAGUUGGUGCGCCGGGGAAGCAGAGCUAUUACCUUGAAAAAUUAGAGUGCUUAAAGCAGGCUAGUGCUUGAAUAGAUUAGCAUGGAAUAAUAAAAUAGGACGGCAUGGUUCUAUUUUGUUGGUUUCUAGGAUCACCGUAAUGAUUAAUAGGGAUAGUUGGGGGCAUUAGUAUUCAAUUGUCAGAGGUGAAAUUCUUGGAUUUAUUGAAGACUAACUUCUGCGAAAGCAUUUGCCAAGGAUGUUUUCAUUAAUCAAGAACGAAAGUUAGGGGAUCGAAGACGAUCAGAUACCGUCGUAGUCUUAACCAUAAACUAUGCCGACUAGGGAUCGGACGAUGUUAAUUUUUAUGACUCGUUCGCGCCUUACG